GUUGUACUGAGGAAGUGGACCGCUCAAGAAGAUGAAAGGUAAUGUAAAUAUAAAAAUAAGAAAAUGUAGUAUGAUUGCAAAUAAGAAAAGAGAGGAAUUUGUAAAAGUUAAAAUUCACUUGUUUUCCAAUCCUAAUACUAAUAAAAGUGUCUUAUAUUGUAAUGUUUAAAUUACCUAAUUAUUUAAAAAAAAAAUUGUUUACACUAAUGAGAAAAGACAACUCUCCAUCAGAGAUCAAAUGACAUCAAAGUUAGAACCAGGGUUUCCGCUGGCGGUCGCCAUUUUCGCAAUUUGCGAAAAAAUAAUAAUUGUGGCGAUUAAAAUUCGUCAUUGGCGAAAGAAUUUGGCGAAAUAAAUAUAUAUAACGAUUUAGUUUCAAUCAUCUUGUUUAUUUACUUUUUUUCGGGUUUCUCGGAAUUUACCUGAUCAGACAAUACUCGGAAUUCACCUUGAACUCGUUAUUAAAGAUUUUGACAGAAAAUCAAUAAUCAGCUGAUUGCAUUUUAUAGCAAUCGACAUCAAAGGACUAAUUAAUAAAGGUGUUGAUUGACAAAAUGAUAUUAUUAAAUGGCGCCCGUCACAUGUUACAUCAAGGAUUAUUAACCACUUUGCGACACACGUGUUUGAAGCAAAAUUUUGACGACUCUUCUCCUUCUUUUAAUGAUAGUCCAGAAAAGAAAACUGUUGUUAUGACGAAAAAUGUACAAAAGCCAGGAAGGUCUCUAAUUUAAAACUUUAUCAUUUAACUUUGAUAUCGAUAAUUGAUUUGAGUGGGUACUACUUUAAAGUCGUUUCAGUGACACACGUGUUUUAAGCAUAGUUUUACAUUUUUACGAUGGUCUAGAAAAGAAAAUGUCGGUAUGAAGAAAUCUUUUCAAAAGGUUGGGACCAACCCAUCGAAUGAGAGUAACCCUUUAAUGCAAUGACUACACCUUACAUGAGGGAUCAAUUUCAAGUGACAAAAAACUUUUGUUUUGUUGUAAAAACCACUUCUUAGUACAAAAGGGCAAAUGUUUUUAUUUUUUGAAGAAACUUUCCGAAAGAACUGUACAUCUUUCAGGUAUCCAAGAAUUGUUAAUGUUUACUAUUUAUUCAUUGCAAUGUAGACUAUAAUUCAAGUUUGAUAGAAUAAUCAUAGACAGAAAUGGGGCAACCUCAUCUUAUUUAGGAGGGGGGCGGAAAAAAAGGAAAAUUUUAAAAGAAAAAUAUAUUUGUGUUACUUGGCGAAAAAAAAAAUAAUGUGGCGAAAAAUAUAUUGUUUUGGCGAAAGAGGUGGCGAAAAAAAUAAUUGACCCAGGGGAAACCCUGUAGAACUAUAGGUCAACAUACAUCCUUUAACCAUGAGCAAAGCCCAUACAUUAUACCAUAUAUACUGUAAAUUCUGAAAUAUUGUGUGCAUUUAUUAUUGCCACCAUUGCCAUUUUCAGUGGCAGAUCCAGAAAUUUUCAUAAGUGAGGGCCCACUGACUGCCUAAGAGGGGGCCCGCUCUGGUCAUGAUUCAGUGAUUCCCUAUAUAAUCAACCAAAUUUUUCCCAGAAAAGGGGGGCCCUGGCCCCCACCUAAAUCUGCCUCUGAUUUUAUCAUUUAAGACUUAAAUGCAAGUUUAAUUUUUAGGAUUUUGAGAAAAAUCCUGUUAAAUUCAUAAAAAAUAUUUCAAAAUGCGAGUUUAAAUUAUUGCGUUUACAACUAAACUCUGUCCCAUUUUUAGCAAUAAUCAUGCUAAUAAAAACCUCACAAUAAUUUCUGAAUUUACAGUAGUCCUGGUAUAUAAAAAGACCCUAAAUGAAAACGAAAAAUUUGUAAAACAAUUCAAACUGAAUUACAGGCUUCUGACAUGGGACAGGCACAUACUAAUUGAAGGAUGUGAUGGGGGCUAGACUAUAUAUAGCUAGCAGUUUGUGGUGCCAAACCCACCUAACCUGGUACAUGUAUAUUGAUGUGAAAAGGGCUUAACUCACCAGAUCUAUACAGUAUACAAAAAAGAAAUGCAUCUAACAAAAACACACACAAGACGUGUUUUUUGACAGUAAAUUUAUUCACACAUUGGCAAGAUACAUGUACAUUGAAAAGUUGUUCUUUUGUUAAAUGCCUGAAGUACGGAUUAUAACACAAAUGACAACAGGCCCGAGAAUACAGUUCUUCCGUAGUGCAUUAAAUUCAAAUUAAAAAAGUCGCACCUGCUCUUUCUCAAAAAGAUUUUUACAGUGUAGUGUACUACCAGUGAGACAAAUAAUAUCAAAAUUGUAGAAACUUCUACCAGCUCUAAUGUUCACGAGUUUAGUCUUUUCUAUAUCAAAAUGGUGUAUUUUAACAUUUUUGCCUAUUAACUUAAAACAGCAAAACAAGAUCUAAUAAACAUCUGACAGUAAUUAAUGCCUAGAAUGAUUUUUUAACUGUAUACAGCAGAAUAGAUAAAUUAAAACCAGAAAGUUCAUACUGUACAUAUAUUUAUUAGCUAAGCUGUUGAUCUUCUUUCUGUUGUUUGCUUACAUGUUCUUUAAUUUGCAUUCACUCAAAAGUAAAAGUACAUAUAGUUCUGCAAAGGUAUAAAUUAGUGAGCAUCAGUUCAAUAUGUUCAUACUACAUCUAGUUUUUGUCUGGACUUCAUGGACUUCUUGAUUAAAUAAUUUAGAUUUUAUACAAUUUUAGCUUGUUACCAAAAGAAUGGAAAGUACAGUAUUAAAACCACUGGUGAACAUGUACUGUACAUGUAGGUGUGAAUGUCCUGCAAAAAGAACUGAUAUCAAAGUAUGUUCAUCUGCAGAAUUGCAGUAAAAAUAUAAAUAAUUUGAUGCACUCUGUUCUCAAGUAUAAUUGUACAUGUACACUUGCUUAUUUUUCUCUCUUUCCAAUGUCAAGUAUGCUUCAAGGCAUCCUUACCCUGAUCCCCUCCUGCUCCAUACACACACACUCAGAAGUUCAAAUAAUCAGCAUUUAUAUUAUAUUACAAACCUACCUAGUCAGACUGGCCUAUACAAUGUAUAUUAUGAAUUGACAAGUUGUUCUUGUUUUGAAUACAUAAAAUAUUUGCCACUGGACAUAGUUUCCGUACAAUAACUUUAGUUUAAGUAAAUGGAUAUCUAUCUCUAUGAAAUUUAAAUACAAGGUUUGAACCCACACAAGGAAGAUUGGGAUUGAUUUUGGGGUUAUGGUCCCAACAGUUUAGGAACAAGGAGCCCAAAAGGGGUCAAAAUAAGUAUUUUCCUAGGUUCCAGACAAUUACUUGUGUAUAAGUGUAUGGAUCUUUCUGAAAUUGUACCACAAGGACUUGAAGGUUCCAUACCAAAAAAAAAAGGUUGGGAUUGAUUUUUUGGGGGUUAUCAAUGGUUAUGGCACAAACUGUUUAUGAAUUAGGGGCCAAAAACAAUACUUCUCUAAUACUUUGUAUAAGUUGCUUAUUUCUAGACCAAUUUCAAUGGGGUUUUAUUCUUGAAUUCUUGGGGUUCUUUAAUAUGCUGAAUCAAACCCUGUAUUAAGUUUUUUUUAAUUUGGUCCCCGUUUUUAUACGACCGCAAAAUGUUUGCGUUCUUAUAUUGGUAUCACGUUGUCGGCUAUAUAAAAUGUACAAUAUACAAUGCAAUAUUCACUUAACUACCAACUGAUAAAUUAAAGCAAUCUUCACCAUUCAGUGAUUACAAGCACUCUGAUUACCAUUCUAGGGUUAUGCCCCUUUACAAGUGGAAAAAUUGAAGAAUUUUUUAGUUUCUGUUCUCUUAACUUUAAGUUUGUCUCAACUAAAUUUAAUGAAAUGUGUAUAUAAUGCUUAUUACCUCUAAACUCAGUUUAAGUUCAAUUUUUGGCAUCUUCACUUUUACAGUUCUUGAGUUAUGUCCCUUUAUAACGUUAUAUGCUAGCGGGGGCAUCAUCUGUGUCCUUUUGGACACAUUCCCCAUUUAUUUUUUUAGAAGUUACUAUUAAUUCUAACCAUGACUGUAUGACAUUUUAUAUUUUAAUAUUUUAUGAUGUAUUUAAAUGAGUAGUUAUUGUUGCAAACUCCAUUAGAAUUUUGAAUUGAGAUCAUUUUUGGAAUAAGAGAAAGGGGGACGUGGAAAUAAAAUUGGGGUGGGGGUCAAUUUUUUUUUCUCAUUUUAGAUUUCAGAAUUUAAAAAGAAAAUUUCUUCAAAUAUUUUUUUUUUGAGAGGAUUAAUAUUCAACAGCAUAGUAAAUUGCUCAAAAGCAAAAAAAAAAAAAAUUAAGUUCAUUAGACCACAUUUAUUCUGUGUCAGAAACCUAUGAUGUGUCAACUAUUUAAUCACAAUCCAAAUUCAGAGCUGUAUUCAGCUUGAAUGUUGUGUCCAUACUUGCCUCAACCUUCAGGGUUCGACCUCUGCAGUCGUAUAAAGCUGCACCCUGCGGAGUAUCUGGUUAAAUUGGUCACAUGCCAUACAUAUUAUAUACACAGGUAAUGUGUAGUACACAUGCAUGAAUAGAGUUAGUUUUCAUUAUUUAAAAAAAAAAGGAAAAUAUGUAGUAUCAUUGCCAAUGAGACAACUAUUCAUCAGGUCAAAAUGACUGAAUGUUAGCAACUAAAGAUCACUUUACAUGUAUGUACAACUUUCAACAAUGAGCAAAACCAGUACAGCAUCAAGCAAGCUAUGUCCUGGAAUGACAGAUGUAAAACAAUUCCAAAGAGAAAAUUAAGGGCCUGAUUUACAUAAAAGCGAAAAAAACAACCAUGAUAAAUACAUGUUAGCAAAAACAACAACUAUUAUUUCUCCACUCCAGUUGUUCACACGAUAUUUAUGUAUAUAUAUAUAUGUAAGUUUGGUAAAUCAUUACUUAUCAAAUUUAUGUUAUCAUUUUUGCUUGAUUGGUAAGCCAAUAUUUUAUGGUUGGUUAUUUUUUUUUUUUUAAUUACAGCAACUGUAUUCCAAGAGUCUGAUGGCUGAUAAUGUAUUACAGGAUUUUAUCAUUCAAGCAACAUCUUAGAAGGAUAAGUGCAAAUGUAUGAAGGAAGCCGUGGGUACAAAUAGCAAUUACAGCAGAUACAUGCAGGAGAGAACUCUUAAACAAAGACAUGAUAUGGGAGUGAUGUAUUCAAGAAAUCUCAAACACAUGGAAUUAAAUAUUGUGUAUAUUUUUUCAAACACAAGUACUUUCAGAAUAUAAUACAAUCAUGACAAUUCAAAUUCAAAUUAUUGUUUAUAGUCUAAAAAUGAAUAAUGCAUGUUUUAAACUGAAUUUUAUAUAAAUAUUUGAAAGAACAAGAA
Molecule: long non-coding RNA, 5210 nt
Filed under: Mytilus galloprovincialis (Mediterranean mussel)
Lineage: Eukaryota; Metazoa; Mollusca; Bivalvia; Mytilida; Mytilidae
Source: RNAcentral